Molecule: long non-coding RNA, 1355 nt
Organism: Canis lupus familiaris (dog)
Lineage: Eukaryota; Metazoa; Chordata; Mammalia; Carnivora; Canidae
Exons: 4
Source: RefSeq, a predicted model, not a curated record
CAGUGAGGUCCGCUGCAGAGGUGACCGGGCUUCAUCUCACACCUGAGCUGCAGCACAUUCCAGAACAGUCACUGAGGCCACUCACAAAACCAGCACAACCCAGCUCCCUCCUGAGCACCUAAGGAAGGAGGCCGGGCUCCCUAUGGCUUGGAAGAUUUUAAAUAAAAUCAACCCACAGCUGAAGGAAGAUUUCUGGCUGAUAUAGACAGCAAGAAUUUACACAGGAAGGCUGGGGACCACAGAGUCCAUCUGUGUCAAGCACUGUUCAAGAUGCUGAGGACAUGUCACGAAAGGUCUGCUGAUAGGAAACAGCAUAGGACAUGGACAUGAGCAAGAGGAAGCAGAUCCAAAGUGGGGAGGUGGGUGGUCAGCGAACUAUGGUAAAUCAGCUGGCUGGAGCAGAGGAGUGAAAUUAUCUGACAUACACAUCUUAAAGAAGCCCGUUGAGGUAGCGGUGGGACCAGUAUGAGUCCACUGCAGUUAGACCUCUAGGUGGCCAGCAUGUAGCACCCAGGGUUGUGGGAAGAAGUCCUCGGCUAGUUAACUGCUUACUGUCAGGGCCCCACUGGGGCAUGGACUCUACAUCAUUCACUGCUGCGUCCCCAUGCCUGAGAGCAGGGGGCAGACAUGUGGCCACAGAGCACCAAAGUGGGCUGCCACACGUCCUUUACCCUCUGCUACCUCCACGUGGACCCAGCUCACAGAGUUCCACUACAUAGUAGCUGUGUAACCCGUCAAGUCACUUCAGCUCUCCAGGAAACUUUCCAUUGACAGGGCAGCGGACUUGACGGAGAAGGGACUGCUACUUCACCCCCACCCAAAGACCGCAUCCCCCCCCUUGCUCUGAUAUUUGUGUGACGCUGCCAGCUUUAGAAUUUUGUGAUUUUUAUCAGAGAAGAGACAUUUGGGGCAACUGAGGAAACAAGAACAUAAUUAUAUUUCACAAAGAGAAACAUUACCAAUGGUCUGUUUAUCGCUACAACAGACAAUCAGUUCAUUUAAUGCCUUCCAACAUCUUUUCAAAUCAGUUAGAAAUGGACUCUUAUUAAGGGAGAGUUACAAAAAGCUGCGUUAUCUGGCAUUAACCAAUCCGAAGGCUUCUGAAAGUCACAUUUCUGAGAUUCCACCAAUAUAAACGUACAAGUCUACAAGGGGACCAGGCAGAUGCUAAUCAUAAUCCAAAAGGUGACCAGUAUUCAACACCAGUUUCCAGAGAUGAAACUAUGUCUGUUUGGGGAACUUGUCCCCCUUUAUCACUGCAUUGCCUCAGAUUGUUUUCUGUAAAACAUUUUACAUUCUGUAGAAGUAUUUUGUAAAUAAACAGAAGGUGGUUUACUUUCAAAACUCAGGCUUUA